This 540-nucleotide ribosomal RNA is filed under the name uncultured Flavobacterium sp. Its description in RNAcentral is "bacterial SSU rRNA". It matches the Rfam family "Bacterial small subunit ribosomal RNA", at positions 96 to 633 of the family's 1533-position model. Lineage: Bacteria; Pseudomonadati; Bacteroidota; Flavobacteriia; Flavobacteriales; Flavobacteriaceae. The record is from RNAcentral.
CGGCGCACGGGUGCGUAACGCGUAUGCAAUCUACCUUUUGCAGAGGGAUAGCCCAGAGAAAUUUGGAUUAAUACCUCAUAGUAUCUAUGAUAUCGCCUGAUAUUUAGAUUAAAGUCACAACGGCAAAAGAUGAGCAUGCGUCCCAUUAGCUAGUUGGUAAGGUAACGGCUUACCAAGGCGACGAUGGGUAGGGGUCCUGAGAGGGAGAUCCCCCACACUGGUACUGAGACACGGACCAGACUCCUACGGGAGGCAGCAGUGAGGAAUAUUGGACAAUGGGCGCAAGCCUGAUCCAGCCAUGCCGCGUGCAGGAAGACGGUCCUAUGGAUUGUAAACUGCUUUUGUACAGGAAGAAACCCUUUCACGAGUGAAAGAUUGACGGUACUGUAAGAAUAAGGAUCGGCUAACUCCGUGCCAGCAGCCGCGGUAAUACGGAGGAUCCAAGCGUUAUCCGGAAUCAUUGGGUUUAAAGGGUCCGUAGGCGGCCAUGUAAGUCAGUGGUGAAAUCCCAUCGCUCAACGGUGGAACGGCCAUUGAUAC